AAGAGAUUUUUGUAAAAAUUCUGCAUUAUUCCUUGACUGGAAAUUUUCCUUCGUGUAUAUUAUAGACAUCAUUUAACAGGAUAAUUUUUGAGUUUUCCAGAACUAGAUAAUUAUUCUGCUAGUGAUAAUAUUUAUUUCGACACAAUCUGUGUCUUGAAAGGCUUAGGAGGAAAAGUUCACAUGCAAAACGGCAAAGUUAAAUGGUUCAAUAACGAAAAAGGUUUUGGUUUUAUUGAAGUUGAAGGCGGAGACGAUGUGUUCGUUCACUUCACUGCUAUCCAAGGCGACGGCUUCAAGUCUUUGGAAGAAGGCCAGGAAGUUUCUUUUGAAAUCGUUGAAGGAAACCGCGGACCUCAAGCAGCUAAUGUUGUAAAACUUUAAUCAGCACUUAUAGAUAUUGGCCCAUUGGAGACCAAUUAAAAAAGGCUGGCAUUUUGCCAGCCUUUUUUAC
This 451-nucleotide small RNA is filed under the name Bacillus infantis NRRL B-14911. Its description in RNAcentral is "cspA thermoregulator". It matches the Rfam family "cspA thermoregulator". The record is from Rfam by way of RNAcentral. Lineage: Bacteria; Bacillati; Bacillota; Bacilli; Caryophanales; Bacillaceae.